UUGAUUUAGGGAAGUUUUGUGGAAGUUGAGUUUGUUUCAGAAGGCUUACGUUUCCAUUUGUUUAUUCAUAUUUCAUAAGAUGUUACAUAACCGCGUUUUUGUAGAAAACAAGAAGUCGUCGAGGUUUGACUUCAAUAUUUGUUUAUUCACUUAUACCUUUGAUUAAGUGUUGCUUCAAUCUAUAUAUAUAUAUAUAUAUACACCGGUCGACACGGAGACGAGGAGAGAGGACAGGAGCAAAUGAAAAUGAAGAAAAUAACAACGCAAGCUUUUCUUGUUCUAUGUUUGCUUCUUAUACUUUUAUAUCUAUCCUUCGAGGUUCGUGUCGCAGAGGCUAGACGUCGUCACCUAGUUAUGGUGCCGAAAACCCAGAUAUGCACAAAACCUCCCCCACCGUGUGGAGCAUCUCCAAGUGGAAGUCAAGUUACGGGACAAAUGGAUAAAUCUGGUUGUAAAACCAUUCCACGACCUCCUCGCGGAUAUCUGCAGUGCUCUCAGCAAAAGGGGUAGCUGCAUUGAAUGUGAACUAUACGGCCAGGUUCUGAUAAAGAUUUUCAAACAGAAGCUCAGGCACGUUAUAGAAGAAAAGUUUCGUUACGUUUAGCUAGUAACCGUAUCAUUUAAAAUAAUCGUUUGCAUGCUGUGCCAAAUCUGUUGUGUUUGUUGAAUUAUGACAUUUUUUAUCACUUAUUUAAGAAAAACCAUGUAUAUAAUAUAUUGUCAAUGAAGAAAAUAACACUAGCGUUUCUUCUUUUAA
Molecule: long non-coding RNA, 757 nt
Organism: Capsella rubella
Lineage: Eukaryota; Viridiplantae; Streptophyta; Magnoliopsida; Brassicales; Brassicaceae
Exons: 2
Source: RefSeq, a predicted model, not a curated record